UACGUAGGUGACCAGCGUUGUCCGGAUUUACUGGGCGUAAAGGGCGAGUAGGUGGCCAUCUAAGUCAGACGUGAAAUCCCCCGGCUUAACCUGGGAACUGCGUCUGAUACUGGACGGCUUGAGUAUGGGAGAGGAACGUAGAAUUCCAGGUGUAGCGGUGAAAUGCGUAGAUAUCUGGAGGAAUACCGGUGGCGAAGGCGGCGUUCUGGACCAUUACUGACACUGAAUCGCGAAAGCUAGGGGAGCAAACGGG
RNAcentral lists this ribosomal RNA (253 nucleotides) under uncultured bacterium. Its description in RNAcentral is "partial 16S ribosomal RNA". It matches the Rfam family "Bacterial small subunit ribosomal RNA", at positions 524 to 776 of the family's 1533-position model. The record is from RNAcentral.